This 223-nucleotide long non-coding RNA is filed under the name Parus major (Great Tit). RNAcentral's name for it is "lncRNA (ENSPMJG00000011197.1)". The record is from RNAcentral. Lineage: Eukaryota; Metazoa; Chordata; Aves; Passeriformes; Paridae.
UUUUCAAGUCUGUUACAGAACAGACCUGAAAUGUAUUUUUGCUUGAACAAGGAAUUUGCUCAGGGAUCUGGUUAAGAAUAACCAGUCACCAGACUCCAGCCUGGCUGGGCAUAAUAUUAUUGCAAAGGGCUGAUGGCUGCAAAUGCUCCGGAAGAAUGUGAGUAAACAACCAUAUUAAUUCAACUUGUAUAACUGUAUAUUCAGGAUCCAGAUGCUUGAGAGU